This is a long non-coding RNA of Acinonyx jubatus (cheetah), 2908 nucleotides long. RefSeq lists it as uncharacterized. The record is from RefSeq and is a predicted model, not a curated record. The transcript is spliced from 9 exons. Lineage: Eukaryota; Metazoa; Chordata; Mammalia; Carnivora; Felidae.
CUGGGUUUGGAAGGCAGGAGGGAGGGAUCAGAGAUCACUCUCCAGAGAUCUGAGUCCUGGGCGGGCGCAAGCAGAGGCAACCCUUUAUAGUCUGUUACUUCCGCAUUCCGCAUUAGUAGUAAUUUGGCGGGCUUGGCAAGAGGGGUAGGAGCAAGAACCCGGAAGGGGAGUUUUUAGUCGGGGACUGGAAAUUCCCUAUCAGUACUGUCAGCCAUCUUACAAGAUUUUUCCCUACCAUUAGUAUAUUUGGGUUGUCAGUCUCAUUGGAGUUAACACGUAGUAACAGUGUAUUGCAUAUAUAAUUUGCAAAAUGCUUUUCACUUAGAGCAGUAUAUUCAGUCUCCCAACAGGUCAAGACACAUUUGUUGAUCUUCUUUUCAGACUGAGAGACUUGCUGGGGGCAGAACAGAUACUGGUGACUACUGUCUUUGAUUUUCCCAUGCCUACUCCUUUGUCCCUUCGUUCUGAGAAAAUAACACCUACGUCACUUCAUUGACUUGCUGGGAGGACCAAAUGCAAUGCUGUACACCAUUCGAAAGAAAGGCCAUAGCAAUGACCAAAAUGGCUUGCAACAAAAGGAGACUGUCAGCGGAGAGUCACAUGUCCAUUAAUUCUCCCAGAAAGGAUUCUGAUUUAAGGAGGUGGAGCAAUCAAAUACAAUCAGUUCAUAUUGAGACAACUUCAACUUGACACAAAGAAAUAUUCUAUGUGCUUUCCUCUGGUGGAUUUCCAGUUUCAGAAGUCCUACACUGCUGGCCCUUACAACUUUACCUGGAUGGGAGUCAUAAAUCUCAAGUCAUUGAUCCUCAAACCGUAUUUCUUGAAUCUACAUAGCUCUUUCUCGUCUCUGAUCAGAACCCUUGCACAUGUUUGUGGCUGCUCUUACCUCUACCUGGAAGGCUCUUCUUUUGGCAGUCAACUAGAUGCAAUUACAAACUGCAAUUGUUAUAAAGCAAUGGAAAUGAGUAUAGAAAUAGAGCGGUAACAUGUAUGCAGAAACUGGAAGGAUGACAAGGAACGAGGCAUCUGAGAAGGGAUGGAGCAGGACAUCUCAGAGAAAAGGGAGCCUUGCCUCCCCUGGAAGUGAAAGGAAACCACUGUGGCUGGUGCAUGAAGGGUAAAAGUGAGAGCCAGAGCCAGGUCAUGCUGGCUUGUGGGUGUCAGGUCCUCCUCACAUUCGAAGGGUUCUAUCUUCUGUCCUUUCUCUUUUUUAUCUUCUAUGGGCAUUCUCCCUCAAGAAAUCUCUUGUACAUCGAAUUUCAACCUGGUGUCCACCUCAGAGGACACGAACUGACACCAUUAAAGAUUUCACAGGGCCUCCUUCAUGCUUCCAUUGGACAGCUGAACGGUUUCCUUUGUGGAUCACCCAAUUCUACUUCGUAGUCUACACAGAACUUGUUCUUCAGAAGAAAUCUCCAGCAGAAGCCCAAUGAAUGACAUUGAUCCAACUGCAUCAGAGACUGUCAACCUCUCUGGGACCCAUUUCUGUGCCCCUCAGGCAGAGUUGAGUGCAUUCCUCUAUCGUCCAACAGAACAUAAUGCAUUUUAUUGCUGACCUUAUCUUAAUGGAUUAUUGUUACACUAUUUUAUGUAUCUUUUUUUUUUUUCAUUAAAUCGUGAGCUUCUCAAGGGUAGGGGCAAUGUCUUACUAAUUUCAGAACAUAUCCCAAUAACUUGGCACAUAAUAAUUGCCCAGUAAGUGGUUGAUGAAUAAAUACGUUUAACCUCCAACUAUCCAACAAUUUAUUUUUACUGAGUGAUUAUAUUAUUAUGUUGUUUAGAAAAGUAUUUAAAUGAAUGUAUGGACAUUAAAGUUUUAAAUCCAAUAAAUAUGUUUGAACGUCUUAUCAUAAGGCAUUUUUGAAUCGGAAGGGGUGUAGAAAUCCCUUAGAUUUCUACAUUUUACAGAUGAGAAACUGAGGCUCAGAGCAACACAUCAAAAAUAGAGCAAAGAUGCAUCUCUAGAUAUGAGGUGACAACAAAAGGCUAUGUUCCUUACACUUUUUAAAUCCCUUCCCUAAGAGGUAAUGCCUGGCACAAAUACUGGGGCUAUGUACUGAAUAACAUUAUUAUGUCAUAAUGUUAUCGGUUGGAUUCCUUAGGAAGAAGAGUCUGAGAUGGAAUUUAGCUGGCAGGAUGUUUAUUAAGGAGCACCUUCUAGAUGAACACCUGUGCAAUGGAAGGGAAAAAAAGCAGGACUGGGCAGAGAAAGAGGUUGAGCUUCAAUACGGUCCUAAUGGUGGCCUCUGUUGAUCCCAAAAGAGCUCCAGCCAGAAUAGCCCUUCGUGUGGUCCUUAGCUGAGUUAGGAUGGCCAGCACUUCAUAUCCCUGUGUUGAAUGAGGGCCACUCUAGAAAAGGUGUGACCUUGGAUGAGGCACUUCUCUGCAUUUGCAGUAAUUCCUCAUAGGCUGAGAGUCAAGGGCUGUCUACUGGUAGCACUCCUAGCAUCUGGGCAUCAAGCUGUUCCUUGAAGGGAGAAUCUAGGCAACAGAGCACAGUGUUUCCACAGUAAGCUUUCCUAAGGACAGAUUUUUAUAUGGAUACAGAUGAGGAUUCAGGUCUGAAUCAGGUAAACUCAGUUAACAGAGGAGCUGGGGUUGUCAGUUGGGUCUCAGUUCACAAUGCAGUUGUGUGUAUAGUGAUACAUAGUAGCAAAUUUAUGAGAGACCUCUGAAAUUCUGAAAUUCUUGCUGUGAUCUUUUAGAGACUUUCUUUGUCUGGGGCGCCUGGGUGGCUGGGUCCGUUGGGUGUCGACUUCGGCUCAGGUCAUGAUCUCAGUGUCCAUGAGUUCGAGCCCCGCGUCGGGCUCUGUGCUGACAGCUCAGAGCCUGGAGCCUGUUUCAGAUUCUGUGUCUCCCUCUCUCUCUGACCCUCCCCCGUUCAUGCUCUGUCUCUCUCUGUCUCAAA